RNAcentral lists this ribosomal RNA (237 nucleotides) under uncultured bacterium. RNAcentral's name for it is "partial 16S ribosomal RNA". It matches the Rfam family "Bacterial small subunit ribosomal RNA", at positions 112 to 334 of the family's 1533-position model. The record is from RNAcentral.
AACACGUAGGUAAUCUACCCUCAGGCGGGGACAACUUUCCGAAAGGAAAGCUAAUACCGCAUAAGACCACGCCCUCCUCGGAGGAAGUGGGAAAAGAUGGCCUCUUCUUGAAAGCUAUCACCAGAGGAUGAGCCUGCGUCCCAUCAGCUAGUUGGUAAGGUAACGGCUUACCAAGGCUUAGACGGGUAGCUGGUCUGAGAGGAUGAUCAGCCACACUGGCACUGGAACACGGGCCAG